Molecule: transfer RNA, 73 nt
Filed under: Capra hircus (goat)
Lineage: Eukaryota; Metazoa; Chordata; Mammalia; Artiodactyla; Bovidae
Rfam family: tRNA
About the family: Transfer RNA (tRNA) molecules are approximately 80 nucleotides in length. Their secondary structure includes four short double-helical elements and three loops (D, anti-codon, and T loops).
Source: Rfam by way of RNAcentral
UCCCUAGUGGCUCAGUUGGUAAAGAAUCUGCCUGCAGUGCAGGAGACCCAGGUUCGAUACCCUGGUCAGGAAG